RNAcentral lists this ribosomal RNA (236 nucleotides) under uncultured Staphylococcus sp. Its description in RNAcentral is "partial 16S ribosomal RNA". It matches the Rfam family "Bacterial small subunit ribosomal RNA", at positions 105 to 334 of the family's 1533-position model. The record is from RNAcentral. Lineage: Bacteria; Bacillati; Bacillota; Bacilli; Caryophanales; Staphylococcaceae.
UGGUGAGUAACACGUGGAUAACCUACCUAUAAGACUGGGAUAACUUCGGGAAACCGGAGCUAAUACCGGAUAAUAUUUUUAACCGCAUGGUUCAAAAGUGAAAGACGGUCUUGCUGUCACUUAUAGAUGGAUCCGCGCUGCAUUAGCUAGUUGGUAAGGUAACGGCUUACCAAGGCAACGAUGCAUAGCCGACCUGAGAGGGUGAUCGGCCACACUGGAACUGAGACACGGUCCAG